Molecule: long non-coding RNA, 1524 nt
Organism: Lagenorhynchus albirostris (white-beaked dolphin)
Lineage: Eukaryota; Metazoa; Chordata; Mammalia; Artiodactyla; Delphinidae
Exons: 3
Source: RefSeq, a predicted model, not a curated record
CCUGUGUGCUACACCUACCUGGACUUUCUGACGUUGACCGUGGAUGUUGAUCAGAUACGCCGAACGAUUGCUGCGUUUGACUGUCAGCUCACUUGCCUCUGGAAAUCAAUACGGACUCUUUGCCAAACAAGACUUUAAAAAUGCCGAGGGGAGGCAUUGGGGGGUCUUGCUGAGGGCCUGAGACGUAGGAAGCGGCUCAGAUACUUGGAGAAGUUGAUGGCCCUUUGAGAGACAGAAGAGCAUCAUGGUAUAUAUGACUCCAGUACCAACUGGCUUAGUUCAAAUCUCAGCUCCAUCUCCUCCUAGCUGUGUAGACCUUGAGAUUCCAUACUGGAUCCCAUAGGAUCCCUGACUGGAUCCCACCGGACCAUCUCUUUAGUCUCAUCCCAUCUGUGACAGUUUCUCAGUCUUUCUUUGUUUUCCAUGACUCUGAAAGUUUUGAGGAGUCUUGGCUAAGCACUUUGUAGGCUGUUCCUCACCUUAGAUUUGUCUGAUGUUUUCCUCCCAAUUAGAUUAGGGUUUUGGAAAGAGCACCACCGAAGUAAAGUGCUGAGCCCACACUGAAUGAGAAAUCUCUGUCUUUUCUGCCUUUCACUUCUCUUCAAUUUCUCUUCCUCUCUUUUCUACUUCUCCCCCUCACCACCCAUGGACUUACAGUCUAAGGAAACCAAAGGGUGAGAAAUGAAUUGGGCUCUGGAGGGAAAUUAGAAUCUGGAAGUGAAUAAAGCCUUUUGCUUGCUUGAGUCUCCAUCAGACUUGACAUGUCAGAACCCACCAUGAGGAUAUGGCCCCCCUUACUCCACCCACUCCCCCAAUUUGCAGGAAUUUGGGAGAGGCUUUGUACUCACACAUGGCAUAAAUUGAAGGUUCCUGCGGUUUUAGCUUCAUUUCAAGGUGCGGGUGCUAACAUUUCAUGACACUCCCUGUGGGGUGUCUGCUCCACGCCCCACAAUGUGCAGGCCUCCACCUCUGCACACGCACAUCGCACCCUUUCUUUAGGACCCAGUUCACUUGCCACCUCUGUCUCUCCUCAGUCGGGCUGGAGUCCAAGAUGGGAAUCAGGGCAGAUGUACAGACACAGAGGAAGGCACAUGCGGUGAGGGAGUCCAGAAAAAGGUUCGACACCUGGGCUAACAGAGAGGGCUCUGGGUGGAUGUCCUCACACUUCAUUUCUGGUCUCCACCGCCAGAAGGACUGUGUUGAUGCUUGACAAACCUCAACCCCACUCUCAGGUCGCAACCACAUGCCCACGGCUGUCCCCACCGCCCUCAUCAGAGGCUCUAAAGUCAUGAAGGAAGAUAAAGAGACAGUGAACUGGACUUUGUGCACUAAAUCUUUGAAACAGAAGAACUUUCAGGUUGGGAUUUUCAUGUUUAAAAUUUAGGACAGCAAGAGGACUUGGUUUCCAGUCCUAGAUCUGCCUCUCCCGAAAUCUGCAUUUCCACCGCUCACCAGAUUGUGGUUGAAUGGGGGUCACCACAUCAGGACCACGGCAGCUAUUUCAUGCAUGCAUCUCAUUUUCAU